This 33323-nucleotide long non-coding RNA is filed under the name Triticum aestivum (bread wheat). RNAcentral's name for it is "long non-coding RNA (TAES_LNC003288)". Lineage: Eukaryota; Viridiplantae; Streptophyta; Magnoliopsida; Poales; Poaceae. The record is from RNAcentral.
CAUCAUCUAACAGAAAUACAACAUUAUUCAUAAUGUUUCAUAAUUAUUCACAUAUAGCGUUCGGGCUUCUGUCUGUUCCUUGAGCUUCUUGCCAUCACUUUGCUCCUCGUGCACCUUGUGCUCAUUGCUUCUUCUCUUCUCCUCUUGGUUGUUGGUACCUUGUGCGUCUUCUUCAAACCUAUCAUAGAGCUGUGCAAAACAUAAAGGGUAAUGAGAUCAUGUCAAGUGACCCAUAAAUGUACAGUAGUAUUUGACCCUUGCAAGAUUUACAUACCUAGCAGAACUCACAACAACAGAAGGUUGGUCACCAUUUAGAGCCUCACUUGGAUCAUCAUUUGGAGCCUCACUUGGAUCACUAGGAUCAUCAUUUGGAGCCUCACUUGGAUCACCAAGAUCAUCAUUUGGAGCCUCACUUGGAUCACCAUGAUCAUCAUUUGGAGCCUCACUUGCAUCACCAUGAUCAUCAUUUGGAGCCUCACUUGGAUCACCAUGAUCACUAUUUGGAGCCUCACUUGGAUCACCAUGAUCACUAUUUGGAGCCUCACUUGGAUCAUCGUCAAAAUCAUGCGGCUGUUGACCAUCAUCAUUUCGAACCUCGUCAAAAUCCUCAUCUGAUGCAACCGGCUGAUGUCCAUUAUUUUCAUCGAAGCCUUCAUCAAAACUCUCUCCGAACGCUGGAUCUACUGUGUUAUCACAAUACUUACUGAAAUGACCAGACCCACCACAUCUUGUGCACUUACGCUUCCUCGCUCCAAGUCCAGCUCCUUCGCUGUGAGGUCUGAUUCGACUCUUCCUUGGUCUACCUGCUGCUCUUUUCACAACUGGAGCGCAAAGCUUGAAUCCAGUGUCCACCAUGUCCCAUUGUUGUUUUCCCUCCAUAGCAGGCAAGGCAUAAGCAUAUGUGGCUUUGAACCUUGCAACAGAGUAGUAAUCAUGCACAUACUGCUGAAUGUUCCCUGCUGGACUAGGGAGAGAAGUGAUGAAAAACAAGGCAUGAAUGCAUGGCAACCCAGUUAUCUGCCAUUGCCUACAACUGCAAGUUCUAGCUUCUAAAUCCACUGGAUAUCUCCAUUCCCUCUUCUCUUUAUCCAAAUAUGAUAUCUUUGCUGUGGUACCCGAGCAAAGAGUCAUGUUCAUUUCCAAGCCUGUUGUUUUCUGCAUCAGCUCAUUCAUCACGGCAAGGAUGAUAAUGUGGCCCAUGAAUUUUGCCUCGGCUAUUCCUGCACGAUAAUGAAAUUUCUGCAUGUAUUCUAUCCUUAUCCUAUCCAGAAAAUCCACCACAUAAUGACCCUUUAGUUUCCGGAUCGUUGAGUUGAAAGACUCUGCUAGAUUAUUGUGCACAUAGUCAACUUUGCUCAGUUCACUAAAUUGGCUUCUGGCCCAUAACUUGGAGUGGUGUGUUUCCAAGUAUUCUUUCACUUUGGGAUUCAUGUAUAACUGCCUCAAGUGGUAGUUGUGCUUCUUCACACUGCAAGUCAAAGAUGCUGGCCAUAAAUUGUCGGUAUACACCUUUCCUUUGAAUUUCUUCAUGAAAUUUGCAGCAAGGUGACGCAUGCAUUCCCUAUGCUCUACUCCAGGGAACACAUUGUCCAUGAUCACUUUUAAACCUUUACAGGCAUCUGUAUGAAUGACCAACCCAUUGGGAUGUGCAAUAGCCCGGCGCAAAUUAUGCAAAAACCAAGUCCAGCUCUCCUCGAACUCUGUCUCCAGCACACCGUAGGCAACUGGAAAUACAAAACUGUGUGCAUCAACUGCACAAGCAGCUACUAACUGUCCUUUAAACCUCCCUGUGAGAAAAGUGGCAUCAAUAGCCAAAUAAGGCCUGCAACCUGCCAAAAAACCCCGGCGACAAGCCUCAAAGUAGACAAAAACACUCCUAAAGCAUUCCUUGGUCUUUGUCACCCCCCUGAAUGUGUACUCCACGGUGUGGUGAUCAAUAUCUACAAUACUACCUGGGCUUGUCCUCUCCACUUCACCUUUGAAUGAAUACAACAAUUGAAAACUUUCCUGCCAGUUACCAUACAUAGAAUCCAUAGCCUGUUGUUUACCAUUGAACAACCUCAUGUAUGGUAAAUCUAUCUUGAAUUUAUCUUUGAUGUUCUUCUGCAAUUCCUUUAGACCCACUUGCUGGUUUUCUUUCACCCACUUCUUUACUUCUUCUGCCAGCCAUCUUGACUUGGCUCUAUUGAUUGUAUCCUUCCUAAGGGUUGAUUCCUGGCAUGUGUGCUUAAAAGGGUUCACUUUGACCUGAACAUUAGUGCUAUUUCACAUUUUAGAUGCGAGCAGCCUCCAUGGACAACCCUCAGUCGGACAGUGCACUCUGUAACGUACUUGAUCGCUCUUGUCAACUUUGAAAGUACGUUCUACCUUGAUGCAGUAUGUCACAAGUGCAUUUCUACACUCAUUCAUGGAUGCAUAAAUGGUACCUUCUUCCAAAUUAGGGUUCAAAGGGUCCCAUUCAACAGCUGCAAGGUCUUGGUCCUCACCCACCGCGUCAUCAUCCACACGGACUGCAUUGUGAGCCUCAUCUUGGUUAUCAGCCCGAGGUGCCCGUCGUAAAUUCCGAAUAACAUCAGAAUAUAGCUUCUCUUCAUCAACCCCAGAAUUGUAGUCAUCAUGCUCCACUUCAAGGGGGACCCUACUGCUGUUGCCCACACUUGUCGAGCCACCACGUCACCGUGCACCAACUAAACUGUUCUGGCUAGAGAUGCCAUUACGACGACUUGGUUCUCCCCGAGAUGUUGCACCCGUCAUCCUAGGUCCAAAUGCUUGCUCAAGCACAUCAACUUGCAGCCUCACAUGAAAAUUAUCUUUCUCUUUAUGCCUAACAAACAUGGUAGCUAGCUCUUCAUCAUUACUAACUGUCACCCAUUUCUUUUCCCCAUCAUAGUAUUUGUAUACCACUUCAUCAAGCAAACCCCAAGGAUAUUGGCUACAAAUUACCUCCCCAAAUUGUCUGAAACUCCAAUUACUAGCCAUUGGCAACCGAUAAUCAAAACCUCCUUGGUAUUUCUUCUGAUCCUUUGCAUCAAACGUGUACCGGUCCCUUCUAAUGUGCAUCAAGAAAGCAAACCGCAACUCCAUCCUAACCGGCGAAAAACUGAGACACAAUCAGCACACUAAUUAGGCAAACCUACUCGAAUCAAGUGUUCAAAUGCACAACUAAGCUCAAUCUAAACAGGAGGCGAGACUUACCCCUUGGGAACCCAGUCGUGGACGCGGCGGAUCUCCGGCCCGAUGCCUGCCUCGCCAGGUACUCCAGGGUUGCCGUUGCUCUCCAUUUCGGCCUAGGGUUCUUCCUCCUAGUUCAAAUAGCUCCAACAGCCCCCCACCUUUGAGCGCUCCAGCCGGGUGCAUGGAAGGAGGCCGCGCCGCGGGUCGAGCCGGUGGCGGGCGCCCCAUCCGUGGCAUCGCAGGAAGGUGGCGGGCGUCGCAGGCAUCCGUGGAGCAUAGGCGCAGAAAAGUAGCAGUGGAGUAGGCGUGCAGCUGGUGGCGGGACAUGUCCUGGCCGCGGCGCAAGUGCCGGCGGCGGCGCAGGUCAGUCGGCCGGUGGGGAAGCGGAUGGGCAGAGUGAGCUAUGAAUGAUUUGGGGAUUUAGUUGCACGGGCCUACAAGUCAGCUCCAGACCCACGUCCACGUGGUCCCACAUGUAAGCACCGGACCCACAACUUAACGCUGGCGGACGGAAUGGACUCAAAUAUGGCCGUUUGGCCUUGUCAUAGUAGCUGUGCAUGGACUAGGGGCAAACCUGAGCACAAUUUGCAUCUGAGGGCAAAACGGAGCACAGAGACACCACUGAGGGCAAAAGGAUAAUUAACCCUUAUAACAUAGGGUGACACAGAACUAGCUCCAGUUCAUCAAUGUAAUGUAGGCAUGUAUUCUGAAUAUAGUCAUACGUGCUUAUGGAAAAAAACUUGCAUGACAUCUUUUGUCCUACCCUCCCGUGGCAGUGAGGUCCUAAUGGAAACUAAGGGAUAUUAAGGCCUCCUUUUAAUAGAGAACCAGAACAAAGCAUUAGCACUUAGUGAAUACAUGAACUCCUCAAACUACGGUCAUCACCGAGAAGUAUCCCGAUUAUUGUCACUUCGGGGUUGUCGGAUCAUAACACAUAAUAUGUGACUAUAGACUUGCAGGAUAGGAUCAAGAACUCACAUAUAUUCAUGAAAACAUAAUAGGUUCAGAUCUGAAAUCAUGGCACUCGGGCCCUAGUGACAAGCAUUAGGCAUAGCAAAGUCAUAGCAACAUCAAUCUCAGAACAUAGUGGAUACUAGGGACCAAACCCUAACAAAACUAACUUGAUUACAUGGUAAAUCUCAUCCAACCCAUCACCGUCGAGCAAGCCUACGAUGGAAUUACUCACGCACGGCGGUGAGCAUCAUGAAAUUGGUGAUGGAGAAUGGUUGAUGAUGACGACGGCAAUGAAUCCCCCUUUGCAGAGCCCCGAAUGGACUCCAGAUCAACCCUCCCGAGAGAGAUUAGGGCUUGGCGGCGACUCCAUAUCGUAAAACGCGAUGAAACUUAAUAUCUGGGUUUUUUCUCCGCGAAAGAGAAUAUAUGGAGUUGGAGUUGAGGUCGGUGGACAUCCAGGGGGCCCACGAGGCAGGGGGCGCGCCCAGGGGGAGGGGGCACUAGUUCUAGUAGCCACUCUACAAAGGUUCCUGAGUCAUUCUACCAGUUCUAGUAGCCACUCUAACAGCAAAGUCAUCUUUAUUAUUUAAUUCAUCGAGCAGAUCGCUUUGAGCUUUAAGUACUUGCUCUGCUUGAGUGGUAACCAUAGAAGCAUAUUUGCUAAUGAGUUUAAGUUCACCUUUAACUCUAGCCAUAUAAUCACUCAAGUGUCCAAUCAUGUAAGCAUUACUCUUUAAUUCUCUACCAACAUAAUCAUUGAAAUUUUCUUGUCUAGCCAUAAAGUCAUCAAAUUCAUCUAAGCAUUGGCUAGGAAACUUAGUAGAUGGGAUUUCAACCUUAUCAUAUCUAUAGAGAGAAUUUACCUUUAUUACCUGUGUCGGGUUAUCAAGACCAUAUGUUUCUUCAACAGGCGGUAUAUUAAGACCAUGUAUUUCUUCAAUAGGAGGUAAAUUCUUAACAUCUUCAGCUUUAAUACCUUUCUCUUUCAUUGAUUUUUUUGCCUCUGGCAUAUCUUCAGGACUGAGAAAUAGAACACUCCUCUUCUUUGGAGUUGGUUUAGGAAUAGGCUCAGGAGCUGGCUCAGUUGGCUCAGGAAUUGGCACAGGAAGAGUCCAGUUAUUUUCAUUAGUCAACAUAUUAUUCAAUAACAAUUCAGCUUGGUCGACUGUUCUUUCCCUGAAUAAAAUAACCAGCACAACUAUCCAGGUGGUCCUUGGAAGCAUCAGUUAGUCCAUUAUAAAAGAUAUAAAUUAUUUCAUUUUUCUUAAGAGGAUGAUCAGGCAAAGCAUUAAGUAAUCGGAGAAGGCUCCCCCAAGCUUGUGGGAGACUCUCUUCUUCGAUUUGCACAAAAUUAUAUAUUUCCCUCAAGGCAUCUUGUUUCUUAUGAGCAGGGAAAUAUUUAGCAGAGAAGUAAUAAAUCAUAUCCUGGGGACUACUCACACAACCAGGAUCAAGAGAAUUAAACCAAGUUUUAGCAUCACCCUUUAAUGAGAAUGGAAAUAUCUUAAGGAUAUAGUAGUAGUGAGAUUUAUCAUCGUUAGUAAACAGGGUGGCUAUAUAAGUUAACUUAGUGAGAUGUGCCACAACAGUUUCAGAUUCAUCGCCAUAAAAAGGAUCAGAUUCAACCAAAGUAAUUAUCUCAGGAUCGGCAGAGAAUUCAUAAUUCUUAUCAGUAACAAAGAUAGGUGAAGUAGCAAAAGCAGGGUCAUAUUUCAUUCUAGCAUUUAGAGUUUUCUGUUUAAGUUUAGCUAAUAACUUCUUAAGAUCAGAUCUAUCAUUGCAAGCAAGAAGAUCUCUAGCAGUUUCUUCAUCCAGAACAUAACCCUCAGGAACAACAAGCAAUUCAUACUUAGGGGGAGAACCUUCAUCAUCACUAUCUUCAAUAAUAUCAUCUUCAAUAAUUUCAUUCUCUCUAACCCUAGCAAGUUGUUCAUCUAGAUAUUCACCUAAUGGCACAGUAGUAUCAAGCAUAGAAGUAGUUUCAUCAUAAGUAUCACACAUAGCAGAAGUGGCAUCAUCAAUAACAUGCGACAUAUCAGAAUUCAUAGGAGUAGCAGGUUUAGGUGUCGCAAGCUUAUUCAAAACGGAAGGAGAAUCUAGUGCAGAGCUAGAUGGCAGUUCCUUACCUCCCCUCGUAGUUGAGGGGAAAAUCUUAGUUAUUUCGUCUUUCAAGUUCUUCAUAGUGAUCAGCAGAUAUAAAUCCCAAGUGACCCAAAGAAUAGAGCUAUGCUCCCCGGCAACGGCGCCAGAAAAUAGUCUUGAUAACCCACAAGUAUAGGGGAUCGCAACAGUUUUCGAGGGUAGAGUAUUCAACCCAAAUUUAUUGAUUCGACACAAGGGGAGCCAAAGAAUAUUCUCAAGUAUUAGCAGUUGAGUUGUCAAUUCAACCACACCUGGAUAACUUAGUAUUUGCAGCAAAGUAGUAUGAUAGUAAUGGUAACAGUAGUAAAAGUAACGGUAGCAGUUUUGUAGUGAUUGUAAUAGUAGCAACGGUAAAGUAAAUAAGCAAAGCACAAUAUGUGAAAAGCUCAUAGGCAUUGGAUCAGUGAUGGAUAAUUAUGUCGGAUGGGAUUCCUCAUGUAAUAGUUAUAACAUAGGGUGACAUAGAACUAGCUCUAGUUCAUCAAUGUAAUGUAGGCAUGUAUUCCGAAUAUAGUCAUACGUGCUUAUGGAAAAGAACUUGCAUGACAUCUUUUGUCCUACCCUCCCGUGGCAGCGGGGUCCUAAUGGAAACUAAGGGAUAUUAAGGCCUCCUUUUAAUAGAUAACCGGAACAAAGCAUUAGCACUUAGUGAAUAAAUGAACUCCUCAAACUACGAUCAUCACCGAGAAGUAUCCCGAUUAUUGUCACUUCGGGGUUAUCGGGUCAUAACACAUAAUAGGUGACUAUAGACUUGCAAGAUAGGACCAAGAACUCACAUAUAUUCAUGAAAACAUAAUAGGUUCAGAUCUGAAAUCAUGGCACUCGGGCCCUAGUGACAAGCAUUAAGCAUAGCAAAGUCAUAGCAACAUCAAUCUCAGAACAUAGUGGAUACUAGGGAUCAAACCCUAACAAAACUAACUUGAUUACAUGGUAAAUCUCAUCCAACCCAUCACCGUCCAGCAAGCCUAUGAUGGAAUUACUCACACACGGCGGUGAGCAUCAUGAAAUUGUUGAUGGAGGAUGGUUGAUGAUGACGACGGCGACGAAUCCCCCUCUCUAGAGCCCCGAACGGACUCCAGAUCAGCCCUCCUGAGAGAGAUUAGGGCUUGGCGGCGGCUCCGUAUCGUAAAACGUGAUGAAACUUUCUCUCUGGGUUUUUUUUCUCCAUGAAAGAGAAUAUAUGGAGUUCGAGUUGAAGUCGGUGGAUAUCCAGGGGCCCACGAGGCACGGGGGCGCGCCCAGGGGGAGGGGGCGCGCCCCCCACCCUCGUGGACAGGGUGUGGGCCCCCUGGUGCUGAUUAUUUCUCCAGUAUUUUUUAUUAAAUCCAAAAAGUUGCUCCGUGGAUUUUUCAGGUCAUUCCGAGAACUUUUAUUUCUGCACAAAAAUAACUCCAUGUAAGUUGUGCUGAAAACAGCGUCAGUCCGUGUUAGUUCCAUUCAAAUCAUGCAAGUUAGAGUCCAAAACAAGGUCAAAAGUGUUUGGAAAAGUAGAUACGAUGGAGACGUAUCAACUCCCCCAAGCUUAAACCUUUGCUUGUCCUCAAGCAAUUCAGUUGACAAACUGAAAGUGAUAAAGAAAAACUUUUACUAACCUGUUUGUUGUUGUUGUUGCAAAUAUGUUAAGCUAGCAUUCAGGUUUUCAGCAAAGAUUAUGAACUAACCAUAUUCACAAUAACACUUAGGUCUCAUGUUUACUCAUAUCAAUGGCAUAAUCAACUAGCAAGCAAUAAUAAUAAAUCGCGUAUGACAACACUUUCUCAAAACAAUCAUAAUAUGAUAUAACAAGAUGGUAUCUCGCUAGCCCUUUCUGAGACCGCAAUACAUAAAUGCAGAGCACCUUUGAUGAUCAAGGACUGACUAAACAAUGUAAUUCAUGGUAAAAGAGAUCCAGUCAUAGUCAUACCCAAUAUAAAUCAAUAGUAAUACAUGCAAAUGACAGUGGUGCUCUCCAGCGGGUGCUUUUUAAUAAGAGGGUGAUGACUCAACAUAAAAGUAAAUAGAUAGGCCCUUCGCAGAGGGAAGCAGCGAUUUGUAGAGGUGCCAGAGCUAGAUUUUCAAAUAGAGAUAAAUAAUAUUUUGAGCGGUAUACUUUCAAUGUCAACAUAACAACUGAGAGAUCUCGAUAUCUUCCAUACUACACACAUUAUAGGCGGUUCCCAAACAGAAUGGUAAAGUUUAUACUCUCCUGCCACCAACAAGCAUCAAUCCAUGGCUUGCCCGAAACAACGGGUGCCUCCAACUAACAACAAUCCUGGGGGAGUUUUGUUUGUAAUUAUUUUUUAUUUAAGCAUGGGACUGGGCAUCCCGGUUACUAUCCAUUUUCUCGUGAAUGAGGAGCGGAGUCCACUCCUCUUGAGAAUAACCCACCUAACAUGGAAGAUACAGAUAGCCCUAGUUGAUACAUGAGCUGUUCGAGCAUACAAAAUAUAAUUUCAUUUGAAGGUUUGGAGGAUGGCGCAUACAAAUUUACCUGGAACGGCAGGUAGAUACCGCAUAUAGGAAGGUAUGGUGGACUCAUAUGGAAUAACUUUGGGGUUUCUUGAUUUUGGAUGCAAAAGCAGUAUUCCCACUUAAUACAAGUGAAGGCUAGAAAAAUACUGGGAAGCGACCAACUAGAGAGCGACAACGGUCAUGAACAUGCAUUAAAAUUAAUCAACACUGAGUGCAAGCAUGAGUAGGAUAUAAUCGACCAUGAACAUAAAUAUCGUGAAGGCUAUGUUGAUUUUGUUUCAACUACAUGCGUGAACAUGUGCCAACUCAAGUCAGUCGAAUUAUUCAAAGGAGUAUACCACCCUAUCAUACCACAUCACAGCCAUUUUAAUAGCAUGUUGGCACGCGAGGUAAACCAUUAUAAACUCCUGGCUAAUUAAGCAUGGCAUAAGCAACUAUAAUCUCUAAUUGCUAUUGCAAACAUGUUUAUUCAUAAUAGGCUGAAUUAGUAACGAUGAACUAAUCAUAUUCACAAAAACAAGAGAGGUCGAGUUCAUACCAGCUUCUCUCAUCUCAAUCAUUUCAUCAUAUAUCGUCAUUAUUGCCUUUUACUUGCACGGCCGAACGGUGUGGAAAAUAGUAAUAGUGCAUGUGCAUUGGACUAAGCUGGAAUCUGCAAGCCUUCAAUUCAGGGGAGAAGACAAGGUAAUAUGUGCUCUUGGUUAAAUCAACAAUAAAGCAUAUGAGAGCCACUCAACAUUUUCAUCAUGAUCUUCUCCUCUCGACCCCCAAAGAAAAGAAAAGAAAUAAAACUAUUUACAUGGGAAAGCUCCCAACAAACAAAAGAAGAACGAGAAAUCUUUUUGGGUUUUCUUUUAAUUACUACUACUACAUGCAUGGAAAGUAAACUAGCUAAAAGUUACAACUAUUUUUUUUUGUUUUUCUUAAGAGUUUUCAAACACACAAGAAGAAAGCUAGAAAAAGAAAAUAAACUAGCAUGGAUAGUACAAUGAAAAAGUAUGAGCAUCGACAACUAGAAUGAGUGUGUGAACAUGAAUGUAAUGUCGGUGAGGAAUACAUACUCCCGCAAGCUUAGGCUUUUGGCCUAAGUUGGUCUAUGCCCACGGAUGGCCUGGCGGAUAUCCAAAGUUGUAACUGGGGUCGUACUGAGAUGCAGCAGCCAUCGCCUCACGAGCUGCAACUUGGAGGCGGGCUGCCUCCGUCCUCCUCUCGUACUUGUUCGCCUCCUCCCUGGUUAUAAAAUAUCUCCUUUUUGCCUGAAAGACAAAUAAACCAGGAGCAGGGAGAGCAACAUGGACAGUGCGACGUCUGUCAAAGAUUAGUCAGUAUUGGAGAAAUUGUUCAUUCCUCUCAAGAAACUGAUGGCUAACCAUGGCGUCAUAAUCUAAAUAAGCAGGGGCAACUCCAUAUCCCCUUCAUGUAUGGUAUCUCAAGAAAAUUAGCUACACGGGUUGCAUAAAUCCCACCAAACAAGUCUCCAAUUAAACCAUUAUUAUGCAACCUACGUGCAACAAUGGCCCCCAAGUUAUAUUGUUUAUCUCCUAAUACAGCACUCUUGACAACACUAAGAUCUGGAACACACAUGUGACAAGCUUCAUCUUUACCGUUAAUGCAUCUACCUAUGAAGAGAGCAAAAUAAUGUAUAGCAGGAAAAUGAAUGCUCCCUAUGGUAGCUUGUGCUAUUUCUCUAGAUUCCCCCACAGUGAUACUAGCAAGAAUAUCUUUAUAUUCGGAUUUGCGAGGUUCACUAGCACUACCCCAUUGCGGGAGUUUACAAGCAGUAGUAAAAUCUUCUAGGUCCAUGGUAUAUGAUUUAUCACAGAGAUCAGAUAAAAUAGUGUGAGAAUUGCGCGAAGAUAUGAAUUUGAACCUUCUCACAAAGGAAUCAGUUAAAUGGUAGUAUUGAGGGCACUUAUCUUGCAUGAAGUCCUCAAGAUCAGCAUUACGCACAUAUGCAUCAAAUUCAUCCUUGAUGCCUGCUUUGACCAUAAACUCCUCUGACGGCCAUUCACAGGGCCACACGUAAGCUUCCCUCGGUGGUUCAUCAUCCUGCUCAUGUAUUGCAAGCCUGGGUCCUUGCUUCCUUGAAGAACCACCUUGGUACAUUUUCCUAGACAUAUUUCUUCCUCUAAAAAAUUUCUGAAAAUUUUAGUAACUCCAAAUAAAAGUGAACCAAACUCAAUAAAAUUAAUAGCAACUACUCCCACAAGUGCCUAGAGACUAUAUCAUGCAUUAGAACUACUUGGGACCAUAUAAAUUUGACAUCUAAGCUCAAGAACAGGGUCACCUUAGCAGCAAUUUUUUUCAAUGAAUAAAGCAGUAUAACAAAAACUAAUUGGACCAUUGGAGGAGUCACAUACCAAAGAACAAUCCCCCAAAGCAGUUUUGUGAAUGGAGCUUUGAGCAAGGAGAUCAAAAAUGGCAGCAAAAUGAGCUAGAACUCGUGCUUGAGCUGGAUGGUGAUUUUUUUGGGAGGAAGAAGAAGUGUGUGAGUGCAGGAAUAAAUGGAGGGGGCCACCAUGGGCCCACGAGGUAGGGGGAGCGCCCCAUGGGGGUGGGCACGUCCUGGACCCUCAUGGCCAGGUGCUUGCUCUCCUUGCUGUGUUCUCAGUGCCAGAUAUUCUCAAAUAUUCCAGAAAAAAUCAUAUUUGAUUUUCAGGGCAUUUGGAGAAUUUUGAUUUUUGGGGUAUUUUUUUAUUGCAUGGAUAAUUUAAAAAACAGACAGAAAAUACUAUUUUUACUUUAUUUAAUCUAAAUAAUAGAAAGUAGAAGGAGGGUACAAAAGGUUGUGCCUUCUAACUUCAUCCAUAUCAUGCUCAUCAAAAGGAAUACACUAACAAGGUUGAUCACGUCUUGUUAACAAACUCAUUCCGAAUCGCAUGAAACCGGAGAAAUUUCGAAUAACAUUAAGUUACCUCAACUGGGAUAUGUACAUCCCCAAUAAUAAGAAUAUCAUAUUUCUUCUUGAUAGUAGGAAGAGGAAAUUCAAAACCUCCAAUAAUAAUCGAUGGAAAUUUUCCAAUAGAAUUGAUACUUUGAACUUGCGGUUGUUUCCAUGGAAAGUGUACCAUAUGCUCAUUACCAUUAACAUGAAAAGUGACAUUGCCUUUGUUGCAAUCAAUAACAGCCCUGCAGUAUUCAAAAAGGGUCUACCAAGGAUAAUUGACAUACUAUCGUCCUUAGGAAUAUCAAGAAUAACAAAGUCCGUUAAGAUAGUAAUGUUUGCAACCACAACAGGCACAUCCUCACAAAUAUCGACAGGUAUAGCGGUUGAUUUACCAGCCAUUUGCAAAGAUAUUUCAGUAGGUGUCAACUUAUUCAAUUCAAGUCUACGAUAUAAAGAGAGAGGCAUAACACUAAUACCAGCUCCAAGAUCACAUAAAGCAGUUUUAACAUAGUUUCUUUUAAUGGAAAAUGGUAUAGUUGGUACUCCUGGAUCUCCAAGUUUCUUUGGUAUCCACCCUUAAAAGUGUAAUUAGCAAGCAUGGUGGAAAUUCCAGCUUCCGGUAUCUUUCUUUUAUUUGUAAUAAUAUCUUUCAUGUACUUAGCAUAAGGAUUCACUUUAAGCAUAUCAGUCAAACGCAUACGCAAAAAGAUAGGUCUAAUCAUUUCAGCAAAGCGCUCAAAAUCCUCAUCAUCCUUUUUCUUGGAUGGUUUAGGAGGAAAGGGCAUGGGUUUCUGAACCCGUGGUUCUCUUUCUUUACCGUGCUUCCUAGCAAUGAAGUCUCUCUUAUCAUAACGUUGAUUCUUUGAUUGUGGUUAUCAAGAUCAACAGCCGAUUCAACCUCUACAUCAUUGUUAUUGCUAGGUUGAGCAUCAGCAUGAACAUCAUCAUUAACAUUAUCACUAGGUUCAUGUUCAUCACCAGAUUGUGUCUCAACAUCAAAAAUAGAAAUAUCAUUGGGAUUCUCAGGUGUGUCUACAACAGGUUCACUAGAAGCAUGCAAAGUCAUAUCAUUUUUCAUUUUCUUCCUCUUAGAAGGACUAGGUGCAUCAACAUUAUUUCUCUGAGAAUCUUGCUUAGUUCUCUUAGGGUGGCCCUCAGGAUACAAAGGUUCCUGAGUCAUUUUACCCAUUCUAGUUGCUACUCUAACAGCAAAGUCAGGUUUAUUAUUCAAUUAAUUGAGCAAAUCAUUUUGAUCUUUAAGCACUUGUUCUACUUGAGUGGUAACCAUAGAAGCAUGUUUACUAAUGAGUUUAAGUCCACCCUUAACUCUAGACAUAUAAUCACUCAAGUGUCCAAUCAUAUAAGCAUUACUUUUCAAUUGUCUACCAACAUAAGCAUUGAAGUUUUCUUGUCUAGCCAUAAAGUCAUCAAAUUCAUCUAAACAUUGGCUAGCAAACUUAGUAGACGGGAUUUCAACUUUAUCAUAUCUAUAGAGAGAAUUUACCUUUACUACCUAUAUCUGGUUAUCAAGACCAUGUGUUUCUUAAAUAGGUGGUAUAUUAAGGUCAUGUAUUUCUUCAACAGGAGGUAAAUUCUUAACAUCUUCAGCUUUAAUACCUUUCUCUUUCAUAGAUUUAUUUGCCUCUUGCAUAUCUUCAGGACUGAGAAGUAAAACACCUCUUUUCUUCGGAAUUGGCUUAGGAGUUGGCUCAGGAAUUGGCUCAGGGAUUGGCUCAGGAAGUGUCCAAUUGUUUUCAUUAGUCAACAUAUUAUUCAAUAACAAUUCAGCUUGAUCCAUAGUUCUUCCCCUGAAAACACAACCAGCACAACUAUCCAGGUGGUCUCUGGAAGCAUCGGUUAGUCCAUUAUAAAAGAUAUCAAGUAUUUUAUUUUUCUUGAGAGGAUGAUCAGGCAAAGCAUUAAGUAAUCGGAGAAGCCUCCCCCAAGCUUGUGGGAGACUCUCUUCUUAAAUUUGCACAAAAUUAUAUAUUUCCCUUAAAGCAGCUUGUUUCUUAUGAGCAGGGAAAUAUUUAGCAGACAAGUAAUAAAUCAUAUCCUGGGGACUAAGCACACAACCAGGGUCAGGAGAAUUAAACCAUGUUUUAGCAUCACCCUUUAAUGAGAACGGAAAUAUCUUAAGGAUAUAAUAGUAGCGAGUUUCCUCAUCAUUAGUGAACAGGGUGGUUAUAUCGUUUAACUUAGUAAGAUGUGCCACAACAGUUUUAGAUUCAUAGCCAUAAAAAGGAUCAGAUUCAACCAAAGUAAUUAUCUCAGGAUCGACAGAGAAAUCAUAAUCCUUAUCAGUAACACAGAUAGGUGAAGUAGCAAAAGCUGGGUCAUAUUUCAUUCUAGCAUUCAGAGACUUCUGUUUCAGCUUAGCUAAUGAUUUCUUAAGAUCAGAUCUAUUAUUGCAAGUCAUAGAAACAUCAAUAUCAGAACAUAGUGGAUACUAGGGAUCAAACCCUAACAAAACUAACUUGAUUACAUGCUAAAUCUCAUCCAACCCAUCACCGUCCAGCAAGCCUAUGAUGGAAUUACUCACGCACGGCGGUGAGCAUCAUGAAAUUGGUGAUGGAGGAUGGUUGAUGAUGACGACAGCGACGAAUCCCCCUCUCUAGAGCCCCGAACGGACUCCACAUCAGCCCUCCUGAGAGAUAUUAGGGCUUGGCGGCGGCUCCGUAUUGUAAAACGCGAUGAAACUUUCUCUCUGGGUUUUUUUUCUCCAUGAAAGAGAAUAUAUGGAGUUCGAGUUGAAGUUGGUGGAUAUCCAGGGGCCCAUGAGGCACGGGGGCGCGCCUAGGGGGAGGGGGCACGCCCCCCACCCUCGUGGACAGGGUGUGGGCCCCCUGGCCUUGAUUCUUUCGCCAGUAUUUUUUAUAUUUUCCAAAAGUAAUCUUCGUGGAUUUUCAUGUCAUUCUGAGAACUUUUGUUUCUGCACAAAAAUAACACCAUGGCAGUUCUGCUGAAAACAACGUCAGUCCGAGUUAGUUUCAUUCAAAUCAUGCAAAUUAGAGUCCAAAACAAGGGCAAAAGUGUUUGGAAAAGUAGAUACAUUGGAGACGUAUCACUUGCCCUUUUCAACUCGGCUGUGACUGCCAUAUUUUCUAUGAAACAAGGCAAAUGGCUUGCCAUUCGUUUAAUUUAGAGUGAAAUAUUGUAACAAAUCCUAACCAAGGGAAAUAACAUCACUCUCGCCGGCUGCUUCAGCUCACUGUGCAUUAUAGAAGCCAAGUGAUUAGCCCCCAUCAGCACCCACAAACUUAUUUCGAACUAGCACAUCAAAUGGGAUGUAAAUUUUCAUAGGAAAGGUUGCAUGACCGUGACUGAUUUGGAUUCUGACAUUUGGGACCCACGAGGAAAUAGCCUAUCCAAGGUGGUGUCGACUUACUAGCCAGUCAACAAACGAUUCUGCCUACCAGCCGUUGGAUUGACAUCCAACAUCUGUCGUGUAUAUUCUAUCUCUUGUCUUCUUCUUCCUCCAGCCGCCCAAAACCACCCCGUUGGCUCCGCCUACUCCGGCCUCCAAUGGCUUGCUGCGCCUCGGCCGCCCUACUGUACCCUCCAUCGUUGGCCAGUCCCUCCCUCUAUUCCCCCACACGUCCUGUUAUUCUCCGGCAAUGUCAACCCCAACACGCACCCACACCCAAACCAGUCAACCCUCGUACUCCCCUCCGCCUGCGACUGGGCUGACGCAUCUUCCACGGCUCUUGUUCGUUCCGUCUGAGGCCUCACCGUCGUCCUCCAUCUUGGUUCGCUCGCCGUGCACGGUGCGCCGCCCUCUUGCGUUUUCAACAUCGCCAACAACCGAGAGGAACAAGGAGAUGACUGUACGUGGAGAGGAUGACAGUAGGGACUCACCAGCGUCAUGGCAGUAUGCAAGCAAGUGUGUCGUUAUUACAAGCCCAAAAAAUGGCUCCUCCUAAUGGUUGGACAUCUGGGGCUCACCCAUUGUCAACGUAGUCAGUAAACGAGAGAAUUACACUACGAGCGGCUGACACCACGGACCCAGCAGGUCACCCACUUUUUUAUUGAGGAACAAGCAGUUGUUAUUUAUACUAGUUUUAGCAAUGGAACAGGGUAACAACGGGGCUGUGUGGGGCCUGUGGCCCGUCUAGCCAGGGUUUUAUUUAUGUUUACUACAUCAUGAGCCCAGUUAUGUUUUUUUCUUGCUGAAAAUGGCUAGCCCAGUUCUAUUUUUUAAAACAAAUACCCAAACGAGGCCUACUUGCUUUAUCAUCCCUGCUAGGCUGCAAAUCUUUUAAGACGAGGAGAGUUUCAUUUGGUUUGCCUAGAAAUGGGCUGUACAUUUUUAAAACACAUCAAACCGGGAAUUAGUUUCAAUUUUUUUUCAUUACAAGAUUUAAAAUUACAUUGAUUUUUAUGCGUGGACAAUUAUUUGGAUUUUAUAUUUAUAUAAAUUAUUUUUUCAAAAUAGUUUGAAUGUGAAUCGAUAUUUCGGGACUAAAAACAGAUGACCGCACCGAAAUAUGCAAAAUUUCGUAUAAUUUUUAACCGUGGCCACAAUAUGGGGUGUAAUGCUAACAAAAAUAAGAUGGGCUCCAAAACAAUUCUUAAGAAUUAACAAAUGAGCUGUACAUUAUUAUAAAUAAUGGCAGAUGGGUUGUGUGCUGUUUUCCACAGAUUUGAGGCUAACUUGUGCGCCUACUAUAGGUUGACGCGUAUGCUUUCCUAAAAAACGGUUGACGCACAUGCAACACCGUGUCAACUUAGUCAACAGACGAGAGCAGUGAUUGUUGGAUGUCAAUCCAACGGCCGUCGUGCUUCUUCAAUCUCUGCUCUUCCUGCUCCAGCCGCCCAAACAAGCACCGGCGGGACUGCCUGCUCCCUCCUCUUGCAGCCGGCUAUGCCACCGCGCAGGCCUCACCGCCCCACCGUACUCCCAUCGCUGGCCUAGCCAUCCCUCUACUCACCCACACCUGCUGUUAUUCUCCGGGGAUGGAAAAUGAACCACUAAACCCUCAUACUCCCCUCCGCGUGGGAAACAACUGCCGAGUCUUCCAUGGCUCCAUGUCGUUCCCUUCCUAGGCCUCGCCGUCGACCACCGCCCUUGUGCUCUUGGCGCGUCCUGGUUAACAUGGUCAAUGAACGACAUCCAUCGGAAGUGGACUAUACGUGGAGAGGCUGACAGCUGGGUCCACGGCCGCACGCAAGGAAAUGCCUCCUUAUUACGCACAAAAUAAUGAUUCCUCCACCUAACAUCUAGGACCCACCGGAAGGGCGUCUGUAUUUGGCGGAAAAAAUGUUCCCCCCACUGACAGGUCGGACCCACCAACUAUAUCUUCGCACGCAAGGAAGUGCCUCCUUAUUAUGCACAGAAAAAUGAAUACCCCCUGCUAGCUGGGACCCACCAUAGUGGGAGGCUGACUUGUGGGCCUACUAAGUUGACGGGGACGGAGGGCUUUGUCAACUUAGUCAAUAUGAACGAUUCUAGCUCCAGUGACCGUACGAUGUCCAUCCAACGGUCGUAGUGCUUCUUCAACCUCUGGUAUUCUUGCUCCAGCCGCCCAAACCAGCGCCGGUCGUGCCACAUGCUCCUGCCUCCCGUGGCCAGCUGUGAUGCCGCGGAAGCCUCACCGCCCCCUACUACUCCCACCGCUGGCCAGGCCAUCCCUCUACUCAACCACACCGCCUGUUAUUCUGUAGCGACGGCAGCCUCACACCAGCCGAACUAGUGAACCCUCGUACUCCUCUCCGCAUGGGCAUCCACUGCCGUGUCUUCCCCGACUCCGUGUCGUCCCCUUCCUAGGCCUCGUCAUCGUCCACCGCCUGGUGCUCUCGGAGCGGCGUGGUCAACAUGGUCAAGGCACAACUUCCAUCGGUAGAGUACUGUACGUGGAGAGGCUGACAGCUGGGUCCACGACAGCCGCAAGGAAUUGGCUCCUUAUUACGCGCAAAAUAAUUAUUCCUCCACCUGACAGCAGGGACCCACCGUACGGGCCACUGUAUUUUGUGAAAAAAACAUUUCUGCCUGACUGCUGGGACCCACCAGCUACAUCUUCGCACGCAAGGAAGUGCGUCCAUAUUACGGGCAAAAAAAAUGAUUUGCCCCCUGACUGCUGGGACCUACCAGCUACAUCUUCGCAUGCAAGGAAGUGCAUGACAGUCGGGACCCACCUCGUCGAAGCGUACAUAGCGUUGUCAUUCUGGUCGCGAACGUGUACGUACAUACUGGUCGAUGUAGAGGUGCGCACGUGUCGUAGUAGAGACACUCACGUGUCGUAGUAGAGGCAUGCAUGUAGCAUAUACACGUACGUACAGCGGCCAGGGUGCAAGAAAGUAAAUAUGACCACGUACGUACAUACGGGCGGGGUCUCGAACACCUACUCAUGCAUACGUACGGCCAGGGCUCGUGUACAUGGCUGGGUCAGAAUGGAGAAACUGUGUCGUCAUCGUGUUCAUGGGGAGCCAACCGGCUGGGUCGAAACAGAAUACGUCGUCGUGUUCAUCGGGAGGGCUUGGACGGAACAGCCGAUGGAAACAAGGCCUGGCGUACCGCAAAACGGAGGAAACGGCCUUGUGUUCGACUGACCACGGUUGAAACAAGAUCCUGUUCAUCGGGAGGGGUCUGGCAUACCGCAAAAUGGCGGAAACAGACUUCUAUUGGACCGCUUACGGUUGAAACGGGGUUCUGUUGAUCGGGAGGGGUGUGGCGUACCGCAAAACGGAGGAAACAGACUUGUGUUGGACCUUCUACGGUCGAAACGGGGUCCUGUUGAUCGGGAGGGGUGUGGCGUACCACAAAACAGAGGAAAUGGACUUGUGUUGGAGAGCUACGGUCGAAACGGGGGUCCUGUUCAUUGGGAGGGGUGUGGCGUACCGCAAAACGGGACUCCACGGGAUACUAUUCAUCUCCACCAUCAACCUCCUCCAGCCUCCACGGGCUACUGUUCAUCCACUAUCGACCUCCUCCAGCCUCCACCUGCGACUAUUCAUCCAUGGGCUCCUGUUCAUCCAGCCUCCAUCGCGCGCUCCUCCACCGGCUACUGUUCAACCAGCCCUCUCCACAGGGUCCUGUUCAACCACCCCUCCACGCGCUACUAUUCAUCCAGCCCUCCACCGGCUACUGUUCAUCCAGCCCUGCACCGGCUACUGUUCAUCCAGCCCUCCACCGGCUAAUGUUCAUCCAGCCCUCCACGGGGGUCCUGUUCAUCCAGCCCUCCACGGGGUCUUGUUCAUCCACGCCCAACCAGCUCAAUCGAUCGGGGUCCUGUUCAUCCAGCAUCAACACCACGGGGUCCUGUUCAUCCAACCCCCACCGGGAACUGUUCAUACAAACCCCCCNNNNNNNNNNNNNNNNNNNNNNNNNNNNNNNNNNNNNNNNNNNNNNNNNNNNNNNNNNNNNNNNNNNNNNNNNNNNNNNNNNNNNNNNNNNNNNNNNNNNNNNNNNNNNNNNNNNNNNNNNNNNNNNNNNNNNNNNNNNNNNNNNNNNNNNNNNNNNNNNNNNNNNNNNNNNNNNNNNNNNNNNNNNNNNNNNNNNNNNNNNNNNNNNNNNNNNNNNNNNNNNNNNNNNNNNNNNNNNNNNNNNNNNNNNNNNNNNNNNNNNNNNNNNNNNNNNNNNNNNNNNNNNNNNNNNNNNNNNNNNNNNNNNNNNNNCAGCAACGCUCACUGAUCAUCCAAAGGCAACAUCGAUCAGCUUCAGUUAGCAGUAGUAGCGAAGAAAUCGAUCGAUCGCUCUGGUUCAGUAACGUGUAGCCUGCAGUGCAAUCGCUCGGGUUCAAUUAGGCGACGCCUCGCUCGGGUUCAGUUAGAGCCCAACGCCUCGCACCCACGCACGUAGGUGUAUGAGAGGAACGCGCAUCACCCAGCCCCCGACCACCCAUCGUAACCGGGAACUCCCCGAUAUUUUCCUCGCCCUCGCUUCUACCACGGUUUUUUCCGUCAUGGACGGCCCAAAGAAUGUUAUGCAGCUGCGUCUCCGGCCCGUCCAGGAUGAAAAUCCAAUUUUCUGUCAUGAUUUUUGUCAUAGAAGUAGGAGCGCACCACAUCUAUGAUGAUACCGGGUUUUGUCACAAUUAUCGUCAUAGAAGUGUCAUAAGACAUAAAUUUUUUUUGUUCGGCCCAAAAUGUCACGGAUGUGUCUUUUUUUUGUAGUGCACCUUUGGGAAUUGCUGUGAUGAUUCCCUGCACUUGGGGAUUAUCACAUAAUAACCUAGGAUAGCUCAAUAAUGAUCUAUAAUUAGCUUAGCUACUUCAUUUAUGACAUAAUUAGCUCACUUAGGUACGAAAUGGCAUAACAACCUAGGAUAGCUCAAUAAUGAUCUAUAAUUAGCUUAGCUACAUCAUUUAUGACAUAAUUAGCUCACUUAGGUACAAAAUGGCAUAACAGCCUAGGAUAGCUCAAUAAUGAUCUAUAAUUAGCUUAGCUACUUCAUUUAUGACAUAAUUAGCUCACUUAGGUACAAAAUGGCAUAACAACCUAGGAUAGCUCAAGAAUGAUCUAUAAUUAGCUUAGGUACUUCAUUUAUGACAUAAUUAGCGCACUUAGGUAAAAAAUGGCAUAAUAGCCUUGGUUUAGCUCCAAACCAUCAUAUAAUUAGUUUAUUUUCCUCCAACAUGACAAAAUAACCUUACCUAGCUCCAAAAUGACCGAUUUUAACUAGGAUAGCUCUAAAAUGACCUACACUUACCAUUUUGUCCUACAAAAUGACUAAAUAUGCUUAGUUAGCUCAAAAAGGGCAUAACUACGUAGGUUAGCUCCAAAAUGACCUAUUUACCUACCUUAGCUCUAAAAUGACCUACACACUUAGCAGUUUUACCUACCUUAGUGUGUGUGUGUGUGUGUGUGUGAAAUUCUGUCAAAUUGAAUGAAUUUAGGAAAAACAGGGGCUAUAUAGCCACUUUGUCGUGCGCUGGCUGACGACAAUGGUCUUUGUCGUCCGCUAGCAGAUGGCAAAGCUGCCACGAGGCAGCUACCUAUGCAACCUGGGGUUUUGGGGGCUGGCCUAUUUGGCAGAUUUGCCGUUAGCCAGCAAACGACAAAGGCCUUUGCAUCUUUGUCGUCCGCUGGCUGACGGCAAAGCAGACCGUUAACCACUUAACGGACCUGAACUGCCACGUGUGCCAUCAAGGCUCUUUGCCAUCUGUCAGCAGACGACAAAGCCCUUUUCAUCUUUGUCGUCUCCUAGAAGAUGGCAAAGAGGCCUUCGCCGUAGCCUAUUCAACCGGACAUGUUGCUAUCUGCUGGCUGACGGCAAAGGUCUUUGCCGUCAACCAUCCAUGCCUUUGCUGUCAGCCAUCCAUGCCUUUGCCGUCAGCCAUGGCUAACGGCAAAGUGCCUGAUUCUUGUAGUGUCAAGUAAAGUUACCGAUUAACAAAGACGAAAGAGUGGAUGCCUUCCGGUGCAUCCCCAAGCUUAGGCUCUUGGUUGUCCUUGAAUAUUAACUUGUGGUGCCUUGGGCAUCCCCAAGCUUAGUCUCUUUCCACUCCUUAUUCCAUAGUCCAUCAAAUCCUUACCCAAAACUUGAAAUCUUCACAACACAAAACUCAACAGAAAAUCUCAUAAGCUCGGUUAGUAUAAGAAAAUAAAUCACCACUUUAUGGUACUAUUGUGAACUCAUUCAUUAUUUAUAUUGGUGUAAUAUAUACUGUAUUUCAACUUUUCCAUGGUUCAUACCCCCCGAUACUACUCAUAGAUUCAUCAAAAUAAGUAAACAACACAAAGAAAACAGAAUCUGUCAAAAACAGAACAAUUUGUAGCAAUCUGUAACUCUCGAAUACUUCUUUAACUCCAAAAAUUCUGCAAAAUUAGGACAACCUGGGAAAUUUAUGUACCAAUCCAGUGCAAAAAGAAUCAGAUCAAAAGCGCGCUUCUGUGAAUUAUGAAAAUUAUUUUCUUGGGAGCAAAAGUUUUUGUUUCUCAGCAAGAUCAAAACAACUAUCAUUGUAAGCCAUCCCAAAGGUCUUACUUGGCACAAAGACUAACUAAAAAACAAAACCACAUCUAACCAGGGGCUAGAUGAAUUAUUCAAAGAAAAACAGGAACAAAAAGCAAAGGACAAAAAUAAAAUUGGGUUGCCUCCCAACAAGCGUUAUUGUUUAACGCCCUUAGCUAGGCAUAAAAACACGAAUAGAUCUAGGUAUAAUCGUAGUAAUGAUAAGGCAAAUCUCGAAAACUCAUCUCAUACUCCCUUCGUUCAGCAGCAAGUUUUCUUUAUGGUAAGCAGAAGUAAUCAAAAGGCCAAAUUUAAUGGGAUAAGGAUCCCCAAGAUCAAGCUCGGGAGGAAUUGGUUCCUCCUUUGGCCCUUCAUAUUGUAUAACCAACUCAUCAUUGUAACCGUUCUUUUGGCAAAAAGUCAUGAGCUUAUGUCCAAGAGAGAAACCCAAUCCAUUGUUUUGAAUAGCAAAAUUAUCACUAAGCUCAGAAAUCGUAUCAACUAAAACAUCGGUAGGGACCCUCUUUCUUAAAUUUUCAUUAUAAGCAACAUGAUCUAGAGAUCGUAAGUGCAUUUUGUCCACUUGGUUAAAGAGAAUUCCCUUUGUGGGAGGACGACCACCAUCUACUUUAUAAUGCGCAAAAAUUUCACUACCUUCUUUCAUAAUAAAUCUAAACUCAUGUGCUAGAAAUAUAAUGGCAUCGUGCUUAACAGAAGAAUGGUUAAUAUUAGAAAACUCUAGAAAAAUCCUUUGUAUGGACGGAUGCAUAAGAACAAAUUGUAUUUCAAGUUCAACUACGAGCAAAGAUAUAGCAUCCGCAAGACUACUAGUUUUAUGGAGAAUAGACCCACCUAACAUGGGUAACGCACCAGCACAAGUAAAGAAAUCUUGAAUAACCCCUUUCCCAAUAAUAUUGUCGCUACCUAUGCGAAGUUUUUUAGUGUGCAAGAUAGUAGAUUCUUCAUGAGGAUUAGUAUUAGCAAAAGCAUGAAAAUUUCCCCCAUCAUUACUGCUAUCUUUUUCAGUGAUAGUCUCCCCAAUUUCAGACAUGGUGGCAACAAACCAAUCUAGCAAACGAGCAAACCGAAAGAGAACGAAGAAGACGAAUAAAAGAGGGGCGAGGAAAAGGCAAAUCUUUUUGAAAAUCAUUUUAGAAGUGGGGGAAAGGAAAACGAGAGGCGAAUGGCGAAUAAUGUAAUUCAAGAGAUGAGAGUUUAUGAUGGGUACUUGGUAUGUCUUGACUUGGCGUAGAUAUCCCCGGCAAUGGUGCCAAAAAUUCUUCCUGCUACUUCUUGAGCUUGCGUUGGUUUUUCCCUUGAAGAGGAAAGGGUGCACUACUAGGGAAAACCUUAUACAUAGAACUUUAGCAGUAGCGAGGGUCAAAAAAGCACGCUGGUGCUAAGUAGCAGUAGCGCGCCUGAGAAAACCGCGCUGCAGAUAAAGUUCUAGCAGUAGCGCGUCUUGCUCUAAACACGUUACUACUAAAAUUCCCAUGGCUUAGCCGAUAGGCUACACAUAGUAGUAGCGACCUAUAACGAACGGCGCUACCGCUACUUUAUUUGUAGUAGCGCAUUUUAAUCUAAACUCGCUAUUGUUAAAGGAUAUAAAAUUAAAUGGAAAGAAAAUAGAAAGGUAAUUGAAAAUGAAAGAAAUAGAAUAAGGUGAAAGGAAAAAAAAUAAAAUGUGAAGAAAACUAAAUGAAAAAGGGGAAAAAGAGAAAGGAGUAGCAGUAGCGUGUAUCCCAGAACGUGAUGUAGCUAAUGUAGCAGCAGCGUUCUUCCUGGAACGCGCUACUGCUACUUCUGACUUAACCACGGGGUUCGUCCUUCCCCACGGCCACUUCCCCCAAAUCCAACUCUCCACUCUCGCCGUUGUCGUCGCCCGUCGGCCGCNNNNNNNNNNNNNNNNNNNNNNNNNNNNNNNNNNNNNNNNNNNNNNNNNNNNNNNNNNNNNNNNNNNNNNNNNNNNNNNNNNNNNNNNNNNNNNNNNNNNNNNNNNNNNNNNNNNNNNNNNNNNNNNNNNNNNNNNNNNNNNNNNNNNNNNNNNNNNNNNNNNNNNNNNNNNNNNNNNNNNNNNNNNNNNNNNNNNNNNNNNNNNNNNNNNNNNNNNNNNNNNNNNNNNNNNNNNNNNNNNNNNNNNNNNNNNNNNNNNNNNNNNNNNNNNNNNNNNNNNNNNNNNNNNNNNNNNNNNNNNNNNNNNNNNNNNNNNNNNNNNNNNNNNNNNNNNNNNNNNNNNNNNNNNNNNNNNNNNNNNNNNNNNNNNNNNNNNNNNNNNNNNNNNNNGAUCUCGACGCCGCCAUCCGUCGCGCGCCCGAGCCCUGACCCUGACCUCGACGCCGCCCUGCCCCUCCCUCGUCGCAGGCACUCGAGGUGAGCACGCCUGCUCCUCCCUCUCCCCUACCUCUGCCUAGGGUUUCUUUAUAUUUUAGGUUCAUCAAAUUAGUUAGGGUUCAUGUAAGAGUGGAAACAAAUCAGAUGCGGAUGCGGCUCAAAUGAGUUAGGGUUCAUGUAAGGGUGGAAACGAAUCAAAUUUUUAAGAUGAAUCAUAAAACAAGUAAAAUUUGACCACUUAUUUCACUUUAUAGUUGGAUAAUUGGAAUAUCCGCUACCACUUUCCACCCCUAUAGGUUCAUCAAAUUAGAUGGUAAUUAGGGCAGUAGUUCCAAGGUACUAAUUAGUUAGUAAGAACUAGGUACAAAUUAGGUACUAGAAUAUUUUUAUUUAUAGUAAGUUUAUUUUUAGUAAGAACUAGUUGAAUUAAUAGAACUAGUUAGUAAGAACUUGUUGCUAUAUUUUAGUUAAAGCAAUUUUUCCCACCUCGACGUGGACGAUUCCUAUCCCGCAUCCUCGUCGUCGAGUCGGCGGAGGACAACACCUGCUUGACCAGGUGGGCCAUGUCCGGGACUGGGCUCCGCCGGGGUGGUACUGGGAGGCGCUACCUACCGGGGAGCGCAGGUUGGUGAGGAGCCAGCCUGUCGUUGACCCGAAACUUCUUUGGUGGCGGUCGCGUGGGCCAGUGAUGGUACAGAGGCUCGAGGACUCCGCGGAGGUGGUGCGUCACCGUGUCAGUGAGGAGGACGCGCAUGUCCGUCGCUACUUGUUUGCGUUGGAGCACAGGUUCUCCAAUACCUGGCAGGUUCUCCAGGGAUCUCACUGGAGCUAUGAUCCCAUGAUGGUUCCUUCUCUGCGGGUGUCCACCGGCCGCGCCGAUACCCGUUGUGUGCUAGGGUUUUAGUUGUAUUAGUGAUGUUAUAUGUAUGAAACUAUUCGUGAUGUAUUAGUGAUAAUAUUCGACAAUGUACUGACGCAUGAGAUGAUUUACUUUUGCUUAUUGAAUGCAUGCUAAUUUGAGUCCUAUAAGAUAUUUUGAAAUGUAUAUCUUGUGUUGCUGAAUAUCCAAGUGGCCGGUCAUGUUUGCAGGUUACACCUCCGAGUGGCCUAUGUUUUGCCGAAGUGUUGAUUCAUUUUUGUUCCGGCAAAUUUCAGGCGCUCGAUAUGUCCUAUUUUAGCAAAGGUCAUGCCGGAUUUUUUCGUGAAUUUUGGCAUGACUUGUGCCAGAAUAUGUAGGAAAUAUCGAGUGCCCCGGAUUUGUGUGUUGAGUAUCCUGGUAGUUGUCUUCCAUCGAUUUUCAAUUAAUGUUUUAACUAUGAACAUAGGAAAUGUCUGACGACGAAUAGGAUUUCGGUAUUUGCAAAUACUGCGAAGACGAGCGCGGCCUGUGUGACGGAAUCUUCCUAGAUGAUGAUAGGCGCUUCAGCAUCAAGCUGGAUGAGAACUUCGAAGUGGAUACAAUAAGUCACAACGACAAGUCUUUUUCGUAAUUAAGCAUGACAUGUGCUUCAUUUGCUUCAACUUAUAAUUUAAGCAUGACAUUAAGCAUGACAAGUCUUUUUUUACUAUUCUACUAGCGUAUCCCCUGCCAUGCAGGAGUUUUUGUAUUGGAUAAGAUAGGUUUCAGUCAUACUAUGGAGGAAAAGAAAUUUUACUUGAAGACCGAGCAUGGUUAUAUUUUCAACGUAAAAUUAUACAAUUUAGAUGACUACACCUAUUUUGGAUGCAAAACAUGGCGAGCACUAUGCAAGACUUAUGCAUUUGAACCUGAUAUGGUUAUCACCUUUGAUAUUCGUCCAGAAGAUGAUAUUGAAGGUAAUACCGACAUCUGGGUCGAUGUGCAAACGCCUCUAGUUAUACCAUUAUGUAAGUUUCUCAACCAUAUUUAUGUCUUUGAUAUUGUUUAUUCAAAAAUAGUUGACAACAAAUUUGUAUAGUCAGCUUAUUUCGGUGCAAGCAAACAUGUCCAGCGCUUGAUAGAAAGGACCGUAUACUAUGCCGGGGCUGAACUCAAUUGCGAGGAGCUCAGUCUAUGUUUCAUGGCUUGAGGAUCUUGAUACUGUCAAGACAAAUUUUCUUCCUGCAUUUAGAAAUGUUAGUACUGAAAACGUGUGACCAAUAGUGUUCGUAAUGAACUACGGUCACAUCUAUUUAGGAAGGAUGGUAAGAUUUUUACUAUUUGUCCUCAGUGCAUCUUUUCCAUACAUUAUUUUUGAAGCUAAACUUCAUUGCUAAGUAUGUUACCAUACGAUGUUUUUCAACAGGGACUCCCGAUGAAUGGUGUGCCUUAUGGGAUCGAGACUAAAGGUACCAUGAGUAUUAUCAGCUUACGGCCAAGAUAUCCUACAGAUUACUUUAGUGCAUUCAAUAUUAGCGAUGGAUGCUUAAUAGUGCAAGACUGGACCAAAUAUGUGAUGGGGGAGCGCAGAGAAGUACUAGGGGGCAGCAAACAGAUGCGCUACCCACGAUUAGGAGACAGGUUCAUCUGCAUGCCCCAACUUGAUCAAGGAGGAGAGCUAUACAUGUUUUAUGUUAUUUUACCUAAGAGAGAGCGGCAGGAGUGAUUAGCUAGCUAGAAAUGAGUUUGAGGAUGAUGAUGUGCUACACUAUUACUAUGAUGAUAAAAUAGCUAGUGUUGGUGGUAAUGACUAUGAUGAUUAUUAUUAGGUAGUGCUAGUGGUGAUUAAAUAAAUACUGUUGGUGGUAAUGACUAUGAUGAUGAUUAAAUAGCUUGUGCUGGCGGAUUAGAUUCAAGUGGAGGCAACAUGUGGUGCACAUCGAAAGUACUACUAGUCCAAACUAGAUCAAGUUUGGAUUAGUAGUAUACUUUUGACAUGCACCACAUAUUGCCUCCACUUGAACCUAAUCCACCUCCAUUUGACACACUGUUAUGGACAUAAUGAUGUUAAUCUCAUAACUGGUAUUGUACCAAUAUUUGUACGAUGGCGCAUAAAUACACUAAAAAUAAAAAAGAAUAAAAAAAGAAUACUAGUAGCGAUGGAGAGAAAACACGCUGCCAGUAGUUACAUUAGCAGUAGCGUGGGAGUGAACAAAUGAUGCAGCUAUUUGUCCUAGCAGUAGCGCGUGCGGGCACGCGUUACUGCUAAGCAAUAGCUGUAGCACCUUAUUAGUAGCGCGCCUACCCGCGCUACUAGUGAGCACAAAACCAGCGCUACUACUAGGGUUUUCCUUAGUAGUGGUGAUGCAGCAAAGUACAGAUAAGUAUUUCCCUCGGUUUGAGAACCAAUGUAUCAAUCCAGUAGGAGACAACGCACAAAUCACCGAAUACCUGCACAAACAAUCAAACAAACUUGCACCCAACGAGAUAAAGGGGUUGUCAAUCCCAUCACGGUUACUUGCAAAAGUGAGAUCUGAUAGAGAUAGAUAAACGAUAAAGUGAAUAUUUUUGGUAUUUUUGGUUCAUAGAUCAGAAAGUAAAAGAUCGCAAGAAUAGUAGAUCGGAAACUACUAUUGUAGAUCAGAAACUUGUAUGAUGGAAAAUAGACCCGGGGGGCAUAGGUUUCAUUAGAGGCUUCUCUCAAGAUAGCAAAUAAUAUGGUGGGUGACCAAAUUACUGCCGAGCAAUUAAUAGAAAAGCGCAAAGUUAUGACGAUAUCUAAGGCAAUGAUCAUGAAUAUAGGCAUCACGUCUGUGUCAAGUAAACCAAAAUGAUUCUGCAUCUACUACUAUUACUCCACACAUCGACCGAUAUCCAGCAUGCAUCUAGAGUAUUUAGUUCAUAAAGAACGGAGUAAUUGAUGUCUGCUAGAACUACGUCGGUAUUUCCCCAAAGAGUAAGGAAUGAUGCAGUAUAGCGACGGUAGGUAUUUCCCUCAGUGAUGAGACCAAGGUUAUAGAACCAGUAGGAGAACCUCCUCACACCAUGUAAACAUCACCUGCACACAAAUAACAAAUACUCGCAACCUGAUGUGUUAAAGGGGUUGUCAAUCCCUUUCGGGUAUGGCGCCUCAAGAUAGGCAAAUAACGUGAGGUAAAAGUGGUAGAUAGGAUAAAUAGAUCGCGGAACAAAUAAAUUGCAGCAAGGUAUUUUUGUAUUUUUGGUUUAAUAGAUCUGAAAAUAAAUGCAAAGGAAAAUAGACCCGGGGGUCGUAGGUUUCACUAGUGGCCUCUCUCGAGAAAAAUAGCAAACGGUGGGAAAACAAUUACUGUUGGGCAAUUGAUAGAACUUCAAAUAAUCAUGACGAUAUCCAGGCAAUGAUUAUUAUAUAGGCAUCAUGUCCAAGAUUAGUAGACCGACUCCUGCCUGCAUCUACUACUAUUACUCCACACAUCGACCGCUAUUCAGCAUGCAUCUAGUGCAUUAAGUUCAUGGGAAAAUAGAGUAAUGCAAUAAGAACGAUGACAUGAUGUAGACAAGAUUCGUUUAUCUAUUGCGAAGAUCUGGAUCCCAUCUUGUUAUCCUUAGUAGCAAUGAUACAUACAUGUCGGUUCCCCUUUGUCAAUGGGAUCAAGCAUCGUAAGAUCGAACCCACUACAAAGCACCUCUUCCCAUUGCAAGAUAAAUAGAUCAAGUUGGCCAAACAAAACCCAAAUACCAGAGAAGAAAUACAAGGCUAUAAGCAAUCAUGCAUAUAAGAGAAUAAAGGAGACUCAAAUAAGUUUCAUGGAUAAAAAUAUAGAUCUGAUCAUAAACUCAAAGUUCAUCGAAUCCCAACAAACACACCGCAAAAAGACUUACAUCAUAUGGAUCUCCAAGAGACCAUUGUAUUGAUAAUCAAGAGAGAGAGAGAGAGAGGAAGCCAUCAAGCUACUAACUAUGGACCCGUAGGUCUACAAAGAACUACUCACGCAUCAUCAGAGAGGCGCCAAUGGAAGUGGUGAACCCCUCCAUGAUGGUGUCUAGAUUGGAUCUGGUGGUUCUAGAAUCUGCGGCGGCUGGAAUUGAUUUUCGUCGAUUCCCCUAGCGUUUCUGGAUUAUUGGCGUAUUUAUAGAGCAAAGAGGCGGUUCUGGGGGCACCCGAGGUGGGCACAACCCACCAGGGCGUGUCUGGGCCUCCUGGCGCGCCCUUGUGGGCGCUCUCCCCUCGAGCCACCCCCCAGGUGCUUCCUUGGCCCACUGGAUGUCCUCUAUCCCAAAAAAUCACACAGCAGUUUCGCUGUGUUUGGACUCCGUUUGAUAUUGAUUUCCUACGAUGUAAAAAACAUGCAGAAAACAGCAACUGGCAUUGGGCACUAUGCCAAUAGGUUAGUACCAAAAAAUGAUAUAAAAUGACUAUAAAAUGAUUGUAAAACAUCCAAGAAUGAUAAAAUAACAGCAUGGAACAAUCAAAAAUUAUAGAUACGUUGGAGACGUAUCUGUCACAUCCCUAGUUCUGGUAUGACCUAGGCUAGCUAGUCAUUUGUGCAUCAUGUUUAAAUUCCAUUUAAAUUUGAAAUGACGAUUUGUGAAACCCUCAGAAUCAUUUUUGGAAAUGACCCAAAUAAAAAUUGCUCCAAAAAGGUCCAAGAAAAUGCUCAUGUUGCUCUCUGAAAAUAUUGGACAGAGAUAAAAAUCAAACCAAUAUUUUUAAGAGCCCAUAAGUAUUUAUUUUGGGCAUUUGGAAUUAAUGUAUAAAUAUUUGCAUUGGAUAUAUAUUUGUUAUAUAUAUAAUAUAUGUCCAAAAAUUAUGCCAUUUGUUGAGGAACUCUGGUAUAAUACCACUAGUUCCUACAAAAAUUGGCAUAAGUAAAUAAAAUGAUUUAGUAUUUUUAUUAAAUCAAAGAAAAAUGUCAGAAAAUAGAAAAAGAAAUAGGAAAAAGGGAGCUUACCUGGCGCUUACCUCCGUGUGCAGCCCAGAGGCCCAGCUGUGCGGCCCAGCUGGCCAGCCCGCCUCCUCCUCUAUCUUCUUCCUCGCGCAUACUGGCACCGUGUGUGUCGCGCGCGCGCUCGCCCGUGGCCACGUCUAACGCCACCUCCUGCUUCCCCUCCUCGUCGUUUGGAUGCCCCACGCGAUGCCACGCACCGCCCCGUACCCCUCUCGCUCUCCCGUGCCCACUGCUCUCCUCUCCCUCGCUCUCUCACAUGACGCCAAACACCACCCUCGCCGCCGCUCGCCGUUACCGUAGCCACCGUCUCUCCCUCGCCUCUCCGACCAGCUCAGAAGCUCCACCACGUCGCCGUCCACCUCUCCAUCGAGCCACGCGACGCGGGAAGCCCUGGAGAGCCGCCAUCGCUUCCGUCUUUGUCUACGGUCGCCCGAGAUCGUCUUCGCCGCCCCGCCGACUCCAGCCUUCUCCGAGCUCUCCGACGACGCCCGCCGGCCCGCUGUGAGCCCCGCUGUCGCCCCCCCCCCCUCCUCUCCUGCCUCCCGUGCGUCGUAGCUGUGCGCCCGCUUGAAGCCGUGCUCUGGCCGCCGCUCCGGUGAGCUCCGGCCACCCCUCCUCCUCCUUCCUGCCCCACCAGAUGCGUGAGAGCCCGGGCUACGCCCCGGUGCCCUUAGCCGCCGCCCCUGUGGUCUGUAACGCGGACACCGCCGUGUCCCGUGGUCGCCGGCAAUGACCUCGCCGGCCUGACAGGUGGACCCCGCCGUUAGGUGAUUAGCUUAAGCUAAUCACCGACUAAUUUAACCCCUGACGCUGACAUGUGGGCCCCAGUGCCCCCUAAUCUUUAAUUAAGCUAAACUAACCCCCUGUUUAACCCGUGUCACUGACGUGUGGCCCCUACACGUCAGGUUUGACCAGUCAGCGUUGUUGACUUGCUGACGCAAUCAUGAUGCAGUGCUGACGCAAUUAUUUAUUUUCUGGAUUUAAAUUUAAUCAGGAAAUUCCAGAAAGUUAGCAAAACUUCAAAAAAUCAUAGAAAUUCAACCAUAACUCAGAUUGAAAUAAUUUAUAUAUGAAAAAUUAUCAGAAAAAUGCAAUCUUUCCAUCUGUACUAGUUUCAUGCAUGACAACCCAAUCUAAACCUGCUGUAUGGGUGAAAACAUGUUAAUGGCAUUUAUAAAGGGCUUAUUUUGGAGGUGCAUUUGAAUAUUUGGUUCAAAUGGAUUUCACCCAAAUAAAAGCUAGUUGCAUUAGCUUAAUUAGCAUCACAUCUACAUGCCAUGUUCAUGCAUCAUAUUGUUUCAUAUGCUUGUGUAUUGAUUGGCGACACCGUUCCUUCUCGAUAGGUCCUGCUCCGGAGACCGUUCCAGAGUACCUGUCUGAGGAGCAAUGCCUUCCUUGUUGAUCUACCAGGCAAGCAAACCCCCUUGUUCAUUACAAUACAAUCCUACUCUCUUGAUCCUGCUCUCAGUUAUUGCAUUAGGACAACAACGAUUCAACUGCUAUUUUGUGUUGCGGUAGUUGAACCCAUUCCUCUGCAUGACCUGUCAUUGCCACAGUAAAUAGUUGAAACCCACUAGCAUGUGUAGGAGUUGAUUGAAGCCAUGUUGUGUUCCUACCAUGCCAUGCCUGCUAUUGCUUAGAGUUGUGUCAGGUCUGAUUCAUUGGGAAUGAAUUGGAGUGUUAUGAUAUGAUCUGGUGCUGAGAGUUAAGUGUGUGAACACGAUUUGGUAAAGGUAGCGGUGAGAGGCCAUGUGGGAGUACAUGGUGGGUUGUCUCACUGGAACCGUCCUUAAGCACUGAGUUCUGUGUAUGUUAUCCAAUGACUAGCUACUACCACACAUUGGAAUGCUUAAGUGCCCUUUCGACUUAUUAACCAACUUGAUCUCUGUCCAGGAGUUGCAACUAGUUUCUGGUGUUUGUAGGUAGUGUUAGUAGUCUACCAAGUGGCACCCGGCCAGGUGGGCUUGGGACAGACUAGGCACAAGUGGCACGGUGUACCAAGCGUAGAUCCAUCCGGCGAGGUGGGCUUGGGAACCCUGCACACAUCGUUUGGGGCCGUGAGUGAAACCCCGGCCGGAUCUCCUUGCGGUUGGAACCCGAAUAGGCGAUGAACCUGGGCUAGAGUCUUGUGUGGUUAGUCAGGUCGUGGCCGACACCCUCGCCGGGCUUCCGCUUGAAGGUUGCCGAGUUACAUGACGUGUACAUGGCGGUAAGUGGCGAGAGCGUUUGUGAAGAAGUACACCCCUGCAGGGUUAACAUGAUCUAUUCGAAUAGCCGGGUCCGCGGUUAUGGACUUCUUGGAUGCUUACAUGGUACAUAGAUAACUUGAAGUGGAUACUAUAAAAUGCUCAAGACAAGUGUGAGUGCUAUGAAUGGCCUUCUCGUAAGGAGACGGGAAUGAAUCCAUAGUAGUGUAUUGUGUGGUGAUUAGUGGACUGGUGUGCGCCAUGUCACCUCAAGAAGUUCUGGUAGUCGUAGAACAGGAUAGCCACAGAGUCAAAGCUGGCUUGCUGCAACCAAACCCCACAUUACCCUCUUGAUACAAAUGCAUGUAUGAUAGGAUCUGAUGUAAGUCUUGCUGAGUACCUUUGUACUCAUGUUGCUUUAUUUAUGCUUUUGCAGCAGAGACUUCGGUCUUACUAGUGUCUUUAUGGACUUCGACAAGUAGCUUGUACCUCAGCUACGAUCUUGAUCGGAUGUUGUAGAUAGUCAGGCUCUUCACCCUUUUUCAUUUGUAGAUGUCUGUACUCAGACAUGUAAUGCUUCCGCUUGUUGCUUGUUUGCUUUGAAUGUUGGGUCAUGUGACCCCUGCUUGUAAUAAUGCUAUGAUGGCUCUUUGAGCCUUAUCUAUAUGAGUUGUUGAUUUAUGUUGUGAUGCCAUGUUGUACAACACAUACUUGCAUGUUAUGCGUACGUCUAAUGUGUAUUGCUAUGUGUGGGAUCUGACUAUCUAGUUGUUUAUCCUUAGUAGCCUCUCUUACCGGGAAAUGUCUCCUAGUGCUCCCAGUGAGCCCUGGUAGCUUGCUACUGCUCCGGAACACUUAGGCUGGCCGGCAUAUGUCCUUCUUCGAUCCUGUGUCUGUCCCUUCGGGGAAAUGUCACGCGGUGUCUAUCAGAGUCCUGUUAGCCUGCUACAGCCCGGUUUACCGGAGUCCUGCUAGCCCAGUUGCUACAGCCCGGAUUCACUCGCUGAUGACCGACACGUUCGAUGCUGGGUCAUGUAUGCCUGUCCCUGUAAGUUAGUGCCACUUUGGGUUCACGACUAGCCAUGUCAGCCCGGGUUCCUUGUCAUAUGGAUGCUAGCGACACUAUCAUAUACGAGUGCUAAAAGACGCAAACGGUCCCGGGCAUGGUAAGGCGACACCCGUGGGAAUACCGUGCGUGAGGCCGCAAAGUGAUAUGAGGUGUUACAUGCUAGAUCGGUGUGGCAUAGAAUCGGGGUCCUGACAGCUUUGGUAUCAGAGCCUGACUGCCUGUAGGAUUACCAAGCCAAACUGGUCGAAGUUGAGUCUAGAAAUUCUUUAGUUAUGUAAGGGAAUUGAUUGUGGGAAGGAACGUAAGGCUCUUUUUACUCCUUAUACCUCAUGGCCUUCUGAUCUGAGUCAUCCUAUCUUUCCUACGGGGUUAAGGAACUAGGCUUUCUCUUCUGUCUAUCAGGAUCACGUGUUACUACUCCGUAGUCCCAUAGGAUUUGUUGAUCAGAGUCAUACCUCAGUUUUCGAGUA